UCUCGUUGCAAUUUAUUACAUUCUUCAUCUCUUGCAGUGCACAUAUUUAUUUCAGAUUGAUGUUGGUGAAAAUUGUGGGGAUUCAUUUGGAAUGUUGUUGACAAUUGUGGGGAUUCUUUAUUAGAAUUUGGAGUGUAAAACCAGUAUGACUUGUUCUUGUGGCUUGAUCUUGAUUAAAUUUAGGGUUACAUUCAUUUCCUACUAUAUCAGAUGUUUUCCAGUUCAAAACAUAAUUAAAAUAAUAAUUAUCCGAGGAUGGUAAUUCAUGCUGUCUGCCACAACAUUUGGGAUUAUUUCUUAAGUAAAUGAGAUUGGUCAUUGGUGAAUCAUUGUAAUCCCCGUGCCUAGUCUUAAUUAAACCUGAAUUAUGAUUAAAUCAUGGUAAUUCAAUCAUACAAUGCAAGAGCAUCCAUAAUGGGUUAUGUAAAAUGGUACACAUACCAUUUAGGGGUCGGCAAACUCGAAUGGCCACACCGAGUAUUAAACUCGGCAUUGAGCUGCAACAGCAGCUUCGGCAUAGUUCCAAACACCCAGUGGUGUACGAGUCUCUUUUGAAUCAUGGCGAAAUUUAAAACACCUCCUAUGCAUCUGGCGAAGUUCAAAACAUCGCCUAUAAGGGUGUGUGUUCGAACCCCAUUUGAUAAGGCCUCAGUUCAAGACAACGCGCUGUAAACUUUGCGCAUGGUUUUAAACUCCUCUUACCACAGACAGUGUUAUAAACUCCACCCAAAAAUAGAAGAGCAAUCUCCCCGUGGUGAGCGCCCAAAAAUUGCUAUUUGCGAAAGUGUGGAGCAGUGGAAUUUUAUGACUGCUGGUCGUCUUGUUUAAUCCAAGAGUACUCCGGGCAGAGAUCUCUAAAUCACCAGGUGUUGAGCUAUUAAUACCUCAUCUAGAAUAGCUUGUAACUGUGUCUUUUUCUGAACAAUUGGUCAGGAGCUGCCUAUAGGUGUAAAUAUGUGUGUUUGAUUAUGGGCAGGAUAGUGGUACCAUCAUUUUAAAUUUCUGUUUUAUGAUUCAUUUGUUCAGGAAAAUUCCAUCUUUGGAUUUUAUAAUAUUCAGAUGUUGAUAUAUUUUAGUCAUCUCAACUGAUCUCAUCAUAUUCUUUGCAUCUACUUUUGUGUACUGAGUCGCGGGUCAUUCAACCUUCUGCUUUCUUGAUUUUAUAUAAAAAGGAAAGGGACCUGAUAAUGUUAAUAUUAAAUUUCUUGUGCUGAUAAACAUGACAUCGUUCUUAUCUGACGCACGAAUCACUCUCAAGAUCCAUGGCGCUUCACUUGUGCAGGAGACAUAUACUUGUGAGCAGGUUCCUUUGUACAAAACAAACCUAAGCAACAUGAUGGUGUCAUAAUUUCUAAGUGGGAUUGGAAAUGCAGGUAGUUUAAUUGGUCUGCCGGAUGAUUGUGCUUAUCGGUUGACUGUAUAUAUUGCUCGAGCUUUUACUGAAGGUGUUUAUGAGUAUUCCUUGAAGAAUUUUACUGAAACAGGUGUUUUAGUCUAAAGCAUAACUAGUUAUGCUCCUAGAAGGGGAGUUCAAUUUGUUUCUCUGUUUCAUUUUCAACCGCAACUAUGGAAUUGUGUAAUUGAGAAGUGAAACUCCAGGUGUUGAAAAAAUUUAUUCUGAUGUUGCUUAUUAUAAAACCUUCCCAGAUGGCAGAUAUUAUUGAAUGCAUUUGAUUUGUAA
Papaver somniferum (opium poppy) is the source of this 1681-nucleotide long non-coding RNA. RefSeq lists it as uncharacterized. NCBI's taxonomy places the organism in Eukaryota, Viridiplantae, Streptophyta, Magnoliopsida, Ranunculales, Papaveraceae. The record is from RefSeq and is a predicted model, not a curated record. The transcript has 2 exons.